This 200-nucleotide ribosomal RNA is filed under the name uncultured bacterium. Its description in RNAcentral is "partial 16S ribosomal RNA". It matches the Rfam family "Bacterial small subunit ribosomal RNA", at positions 30 to 228 of the family's 1533-position model. The record is from RNAcentral.
AUUGAACGCUGGCGGAAUGCUUUACACAUGCAAGUCGAACGGCAGCACGGGAGCUUGUUCCUGGUGGCGAGUGGCGAACGGGUGAGUAAUACAUCGGAACGUACCCAGUUAUGGGGGAUAACUAACCGAAAGGUUAGCUAAUACCGCAUACGCCCUGAGGGGGAAAGCGGGGGACCGUAAGGCCUCGCGUAAUUGGAGCG